RNAcentral lists this ribosomal RNA (252 nucleotides) under uncultured bacterium. RNAcentral's name for it is "partial 16S ribosomal RNA". It matches the Rfam family "Bacterial small subunit ribosomal RNA", at positions 1249 to 1500 of the family's 1533-position model. The record is from RNAcentral.
ACAAAGACCGCGAGGCAGAGCAAAACCCUAAAAAGUCGUCUCAUUCGGAUUGCAGGCUGCAACUCGCCUGCAUGAAGUCGGAAUUGCUAGUAAUCGCGGAUCAGAAUGCCGCGGUGAAUACGUUCCCGGGUCUUGUACACACCGCCCGUCACACCAUGGGAGUCGGAAAUGCCCGAAGUCUGUGACCCAACCGGAAGGAGGGAGCAGCCGAAGGCAGGUCGGAUGACUGGGGUGAAGUCGUAACAAGGUAUC